GGGGGCGGGGCCUGGGCUGCGUGCGCGUCGCCGGGUGUCCCGGGCCUCACCUCCAGCCUCCUGAACGUCUGGGCUGUUCUCCGAGGCCGGUCCUCAGAGGACCUUCUCCUCAGAGGUCGCCGCACGAGACGUUCAUCAGCAUUUCCCGCACUUCGAGAAAAUGGCUUCCUUCCGGCCAGUGAAGACGGCCCCUCAGAGAAAGUUCCUGCAGUCAUCUCAACUCCUGCUUCACAGAAAACAACUUCAGCCAGAGUUUUGAGUGGGAUAAAAUGGGAUCAAAAGGAGAGUGAGUUACUAAGAGUAACUUACAGUACAAGGUUAGUGGCUUAUUUCACUAGAGGAAUGGGUGCAAAGGAAGAAUACCAUUUGAAGGAAAGAAUUGAAUUGCUGAUGGAACAUAGCUCUCGGUGACCAGCUAGUUCAGAAGAUUUUUUCAUUCAAGACUGACACUUACUUUCACCCUAAUUUCACCGGUGUUCUCUUUAUCUGGGUACAGAAUAAAACCGUGUCAUUUGCUGUGAUAAAGAUACUUUGCUAAAGGCAGAUUGGGUUUUCCUUGUUUUCACAAGAGUGCUAUAACUAAGAAUGGCC
RNAcentral lists this long non-coding RNA (591 nucleotides) under Capra hircus (goat). RNAcentral describes it as "lncRNA (ENSCHIG00000007202.1)". Lineage: Eukaryota; Metazoa; Chordata; Mammalia; Artiodactyla; Bovidae. The record is from RNAcentral.